UUCUGAAUUUUUAUAUACUUGGUUAUCAUGUUGCUUUCAGAAGUGAGCUUUCCAGUUCACAAGUUAGGGUGCUCUACUUUGAAGGAAAUUAGCUUAUCAAAAGGACUUGCAAAAUGUCACUUUCAUGAUGAUGACACACUGAUAUCCAUAUCUGAAUGUUUGUACUUGUGGAAUUCUAGAAUCUCAUCUUACAUGUCCCUAAUCUUUUUUUUCUGCUUUGGCAUUAGUGAAUGUCUUUUAUAAUGUCCAAAUCCAAGUCAGUAGGAGGUACCAACAAAUGGCAAGAAUCAAUGAUUCUUCCUGUCGAUGUUGUGACUCCUUUGAAUAUGAGCAUCCACAUCUGCUAAUUUGUACCCCUAUCUAUUACUUAGGGAUGCCACAGGCAGUAAUCCGAAGGAAGAGGAAGCACCAUGGCACCUGGGGGCUUCGUGGAUUGGAGGGGAAAAGCCAUCAAUAAAGAGGUGCAUGGCGGAGUCAGAGCAGCGUGGUUUUUGUAUGUUCUGACUGUGGUAACCAACGUGGUUAUUGUCCCAAACCUGCUGAAUCUGGUCACUUACCUCCACAGAACAAUGCACAUGGGGGUCUCAGGCUCUGCAACUACAGCCACUAAUUUUAUUGGUGCCACAUCUGGCUUUGCACUGAUAGGAGCUUUCCUCUCGGACUCCAACAUUACUCGCUCUAGAACUAUGCUCCUCUUUGGUCCGUUUAUGUUUCUGGUAAUGUGCGUUUUAGUCUGUUCGGUUACCUACAUGAUUUCUGAUUUUCUAACACGAUCCAACGGAACUAUUCUUUUAUUCUUGCAUCUUUUCUCAUAAAAUUUAUUUUCUUAUAUUUAUCGCCAUUGUGAUGUGGUCUGACCAAAAUCAGGGAGAAGCGUUAUCUGCAGUGAAGAAGUAAUUUCCCAAAGUUGAGAUGUAUGGGUGUACAAAAUCAUAUGGUGUAAGGGGAUACGGAUUGCUAGCACUGCAAGCCUACCUUCCCUCGCUCCACCCACCACCUUGCAACAGUGAAGCAGAGGUAAACAACUGCAAAGAGGUCCAUGGCUGGAAUGCUACCUUUACUGUACACAGCCUUGUAUAUGAGCGCACUUGGUGAUGGUUCUAUGAGUGCUUGCUUGCCAUCCCUCGGAGCUGACCAAUUUGACCACGAAGAUCCCUCCGAGUCCUGUCAACAGUCUAGCUUCUUUAAUUGGUAUACCUUCGGAAUCUCCUUUGGAGGUUUUGUAGGGCCGAUUCUCAUAGUAUGGCUUGAAAAUUACAAAGGGUGGGAUAUCGGACUUGGGGUGUGUGCCAUCCUAAUUCUGCUCGGAUUGCUCAUAGUUGCUGCUGGUCUCCCUUUCUACCGCAACCAAGUACCAGAAGGAAGUCCUCUAACUCGAAUACUGCAGGUUGUGCUUCAUAUUCCUGUCUUAAAACACAAUGUGCCAUCACAAUUUUCAGGGAAUGUGUUAGAUCAAAUACC
Molecule: long non-coding RNA, 1461 nt
Organism: Triticum dicoccoides
Lineage: Eukaryota; Viridiplantae; Streptophyta; Magnoliopsida; Poales; Poaceae
Exons: 3
Source: RefSeq, a predicted model, not a curated record